UGGCCACGUCGAUGGAUGCGGCGGUCAGGGACCCGACCGACGCUGAGGGAGCAAGGGAAUUGCAGAGAUCGGGGUACGAUGCUUUUUUGCAUUCGGAGGUGGCGUCGAAGAGGGAGCGGUCAUUGACGCGGCGGAGGACGCGAGCUUCUGUUAUGGUGGCCCCGAGAAGGAGGAGCAGAGCGGCAGGCAGGAUGAGUGGGAGAGAGGCGGUUUGGUGCUGUCGCCCCAUGGUGGCUCUCUUGGAGGGUUUGGAAACUGAGGAGAGCCAAAGAGCAGUGGAAGAGAAGAGGGAGGCGGAGGUUGGACAUAGAUUUGCAAGUGUUUAUAUAGGUGUGCGGAGAUGGAUGUGGCCAAAUGUACGUGAAGGAGAGAGGAGGAGGAGGGAAGAAGGAUCCGUUCUCCUGGUUUAUCUCCCAAACAUACGUGGGUGUAGGGCUGACCAUAAAUGUCGCUGUGGGUCCGACUUGGUCAGAGCUAAAAAAAAAAAUCAUAAGUAUUUUGUUUAUCCUCCCUAACGACUCACUCGUUGCUAUUUAAAUACCAGGAAGGAGGACUCCUGUCAUAAUAAAAUAGUUUUUUUUAUUUUUUUUAAUACUAUUUUUCUUUUUUCUCAUCUUAAUCUUCGACUCGUAUACAUUCUAACUCUUACGAACAGAGGAGGAUACAUUCAUAGUAUUAUAUCCCAUCUACUUUGUAGGUUUUUGAAUUUAGAGCACUUGGCUCAUAGCAUACCUCCACAUCAUCUACCUCAACUAUUCCAAGAGCGUACGUACAAGAAAGGGUCCAUAUUGGCUCCAAGAAGUCAAUCGGUUAUCAUAUGAGAUCCUAAACUUGCGAUAAUAAAAUGAUAAAUUAAUCAUGCUCUAAUCUCUUACGAGGUGGAUAUCCGAUAUCACAUGAAAGAAAAUUCAGAUUAAGCAUGCGCAUAUUUAGCUCGACAUCCUUAUAAGAAGAUGGUGUAUGAUGCAAAUACUAAUAAAUCUUUAGAGAUGAAUAAAAAAAAAAAUCCCAUCCGUAUAUACCCAAAAGAAAAACGCUAAGUUGCACAACAAUAAUGACUAUAAAAAUAAAUAAAUCUGCACAGGCGAAUUAUUUCAAUGAAUCACAAACAAACAAAGGCCUAAUGUGCAGGUAAUUAAUUCUAGACCACUAGAAUCUCAACCAUGUAUUCACAAACCCGAACACCAAGAGUCCGACAAUACAAAAAAUUCCCAAGAAUGUUUGCAUCGAAAAAAAUCAACACGGGAAAAGCCUGAAUAGUUCGGGAAACUCACUUAUUAGCCAACAUAGAACAAAAAAGGCAUGACCUAAGAACGCAAGCUUAAUGAGCAGCACAUAGUCAGAUCAAACCAAACUUUAGGUGUUUUUGCCAUCUUCAUCUAGUGGUAUUUGACUCUUCUAGAACUACUUUUCUAGUGACCCCCUUGUAUAUAUACGUACAUGCAUUAAGACGAUCCAGCUCCUCCCGAUGCUCAUUCAGCACUGCUCGAACGACAUCACCAAUGGAGACCAUGCCAAUCAUACCUUUGUCAUCAACCACAGGGAUAUGCCUAAUGCGGUCGUCUACAGAUAAAAAAAGUCAUAACAACAGUGUUAUCAGUCAAUCUAUCUACGCGAGCAACUAAUUGUACUUACAGAACAAACCUGUCAUAAGCUGCAUGGCCCGCAGAACCUUGGUAUCUGGUGUCACAGUGAUCAAUUUAUUCUGGUCAUAAGAAACCAACGAUACUUUGUCAUAAGGCAGAAUGCAAAUGAAGGAUAAAAUCUUAGUCCAUGUCACCAUUGAACGACAGGUUUGGUACUGUACUGGUAUCAUAUGAUGAAGCAAGUAUCGAUAUGGUACAGUAAAAUCGAUACAGACCAUUAUUAGAACGGAGGGAGAGAGAGAGAGACUAGCUGGAGAUAGUGAGUACAAAAUAACGCAGGAAUGUAUCGGAGGAAAGGCAGCGGUAGGCCGUGACGUGAUAAAGAGAAUGGGUUAGAUUACACGAUUUAUCUAAUUAGAUAAAAUAUAUUAUAAAUAUGAUUUAUUUUGAUCAUGAUUAUUAAUUAAUAAAAAAAAUUAAUUAUAGUAUAAUUCUUUAUAAUAUAUUUUGAUAUGAAACUUCCUUAAUUAUUUAUAUUAGACUAUUUUCUCUCGUCUAUAAAAUGACAUGAUCUUUUAAAGACUCGACGUGAAUUCACAGAUAAUUAAAUACAUGAUAUGUAAAUAAAUAAAUAAAGAUGGAGAUAUAUGAUAUUAUUGGGAGAUUACAUACAUUUUCUCAUAUCACAUUAAUCACGUGAACUAGUUAAUGAGAUAUUACAUAUCUUUUCUCAUCUUCCUUUUAUUCUUAAUCAAUCGCUUAUAACAGUCAUGUGAAGGAUAAGAAAAGAUGAAAAUAUGAGUUUAGUUCUCCUUGCAUACUGGCAUCGUUGUAACUUUUGAAUUCGACAAUGGUGCACCUGCAUAUCACAUAAAAUUUUUUUGAAUGAUAUCUAAAGGUACGCUUCAUAAAUUUGAUCUAUUAUUAUUUGAUUUUAUUUUUUUAUAUUAUAGUUUUUUGCAUAACAAUAACAUAAAAUUAGUUUUUUAUGUUUAUAAUUGGUAUCAAAACCAAAUUUAUGAAAUCAAAUACUUUAGAUAUAUUUGUUAGCACAUUUCACUAUGUUGUUCGAUUUUGAUUUGCAAUGCUUAAACGAUUCAUGUGUAUUACUAAUCUACUUUUAUAUUUAGUUUAACAUAUCGUCUGUGGGUGAUAUAAGAUUCUUUGUGUUUGAUCGAUGGACUAUUGUCGAUAAUUUACUAUUAGCAAUAGUAUUAUUAAGGGUGAUGGUCUUCGAUGGUCGCCAGCCCAAUCAUGGGCAACAAUUGCAUAUGCAGCGAAAGCUUUGUAGAUUACGACAACCUUAUGGCAGAUGCAAUUUGUCUUAUGGCUACGGUGGCUAUGCAACACUACUGCUUGCGAUGGCUUUGGCUAUUGUCACUACAUACGGUGGCUAUAGUAACGUCGCUGCGUGUAAUAACUACAGUAAUGCCAUUGCCUAUGUGGCUACAACGAUUGUUGUUGCUUGAGGCAACUGUAGCAGCAUCGUCACUACUUGUAGUAGUUGUAGCAAUGUUGAUGUGACAACAUAUGUUGCCACACUCGGUGUCACUAAAAGCCAAAGACCAAUGACGUCAUCGGGCAAUGUGUGUGUACACAAUCACGUUGCGACGACUAUGGGGGUCACCUUGAGUCGCACAUGCGUGGUAACAAUUGUUUGAGGCGGGGUGACGACCCACAAGCGAUGAUCACUCAUGACAGUGAUUGUGCGAAGGGAGUAGAAUUAGGGGUGUUUUUUUAAUAAAAGAAUAUUUUUACCCUACAUAAUUAGAAAAAAAAUUAGCUUGUGUCCUUUUGACAAUUUUGAUCUUCACAAAUUAGAUAUAUUUUUACAUAUCAUAACAAAAUUAUAUUUUUACCCUUGAAAAAUUAAAAUUUUCUAACUUGUCUUCAAUGAUAAAAUUGAUUAAUUUGAUUUAUUUUAAUCAAAUAUUUUGAUCGGACUUUAUCAUUAUUGUAUUUUGACUACUUGACUAUAUUUAGGUUUGAUCAAUUAAGUUUUGAUCGAUUUCCACAAAAAGUCAAAAUUUGAUUUUAAUCAACAUUAAUCUUAAUGAGCCUAACUGGGUAAAUGUUCAACUCAAAUCUAUGAGCCUAAUUUGGGUAACUUAAUUUUGGGUCUAGUCAAUUAAAUAUGGUUGAUUAAUAUAAGAGUUCGAUACGAAAUUUUAAAAUAUAGAUAAAUCAUGAUUUUCUUUGAUAGUUUUCUUAUAUGACAUCGAUAAAAUUUUAUAUGUGAUAAAUAAAAAAAUAAUUAUUAUUCUUGAAUAUUUGUUUGAUUAUUCACAUGCAUAUGUUUAAAAUUAUAAAAUGAUAUUUAUUUUUCACAUAAAAACAUAAUUUUUGUUUUUUUUCAUUAUUAUAGUUUUCAUGUGUUUUUCUGAUUAAUAUUUAAUUAUUAUUAUUAUUUAAAUAUUUUAAUAUAAGUUAAAUAAGAAAUUAGGUGAAUAUUCUUUGUAACUCAUAUUUCUAAAUUUUAUCUGAUUGGUAACUAAAGAUAUAUUUAUAAGGUAUGAAUUAUAAUAAAAUAUUAUAAUUUAUAUAAAAUAUAAUAUUUUAAAUUAUAUUAGAUAUUGUUGUAUGGGUCGGUGGCCUAGGGUUAGGUCUUAUAGAUAGGCGACUGAGUCUCUCGAACUCGUAGGCGACGCCGAGGAUGGGUACGAUGGAUUUGACGGAGGAGGGGACGAGCUCGCAGUCGGGCGGGGCAGGCGCAUCCUCCUCCUGCUGCACGUCCAGCAUCGUCGGCAUCCGCGUCAUCUUCCUAGAGGGUGCUUUCCGGAGCUUCAGCCCACCGGCGCCCUCCCCUCCUCCGUGGUUGCUGCCGCUCGCCAUCAAGCCCUGCCUCCCUUCUUUUCCUUCCUCGCUUCUCUUCUUCUCGUCCCAAGCAAAUCUUUAAGGGUUUUUUUUGUGGCAGAAUAGUGUCUUUAGCUUUUCCUUUCUGCGCUCCACCAGCUGUACUGUUCUUUUCCGGGUUUCGAUUUGGCGAUGGGGGGAUCGAAGGAAGGAAUGUGGUACAGGAAAGGAAGAGACGGAGAGAAAAAUAAAAACGAAGGUGGAUGCGAUUGUGAGCGGGAGUCAGGCAAGGACGUAAUUAAUUGGCCAAGCGGACUGGGUUUCGUGUUUCGGACGGCAAGGAUCGAGUCGAUGCUCCGCUUGCCGCCCAGGGCUACCGUAGGAUAUUCGAAAAAGCCAAAACUUAUAGUCAUUUCGUGGAAGACAUGCAUGCAGUGCAUGCGAACGUGGAGUAGCAGUAAGCAAACCAAAUGAAUAAAAAGACGAGGAGAAGGUGGUCUAUAACCGAGACAUGAAUCUUAAACCUCACAGCUUCACAGAUCAUUUUAAAUCAUUUAAUCCAAAUAAAAACAUCCUCCACCUUCACUUCUAUGGUCAAUAUAUUAUCUCGCCAGUUGCUCUUUACGUGGAUGUCUCUCCUCAGUUCUUCAAAGUAGAAGCCAGGUCCAGGCUAUUGCUAACCAGUUUCGAAAGGUGGUCGUUGAUAUCGGCAACAGGUGACACCAAACCCGGCCAAUCCUGGAACGCAUCAGCGCAGUUGGCCUUGAGGCUCAUCGCGGCGGAGAGGUUCACCAUGAGGUCAGUGUGCGCUGCAUCCUUGAGGUUCUUGGCUGACAACUGGAGACUGUCAGCUACGGAGCUGAAGGCAUCACGGCAAACACACAGGGUGGACUUCAUCAGCUUCUCGGUGCCAGGGGCUUUCAUAAGCUUGGCGGAAAUGGCUGCUGCCUCCUUGGCUUUGGACGUGGCCACGUCGAUGGAUGCGGCGGUCAGGGACCCGACCGACGCUGAGGGAGCAAGGGAAUUGCAGAGAUCGGGGUACGAUGCUUUUUUGCAUUCGGAGGUGGCGUCGAAGAGGGAGCGGUCAUUGACGCGGCGGAGGACGCGAGCUUCUGUUAUGGUGGCCCCGAGGAGGAGGAGCAGGGCGGCAGGCAGGAUGAGUGAGAGAGAGGCGGUUUGGUGCUGUCGACCCAUGGUGGCUCUCUUGGAGGGUUUGGAAACUGAGGAGAGCCAAAGAGCAGUGGCAGAGAAGAGGGAGGCGGAGGUUGGAGAUAGAUUUGCAAGUGUUUAUAUAGGAGGAGCUUGGAUAGGUGUGCGGAGAUGGAUGUGGCCAAAUGUACGUGCAGGAGAGAGGAGGAGGAGGGAAGAAGGAUCCGUUCUCCUGGUUUAUCUCCGAACCAUACGUCGAUGUAUGGCUGACCAUAGAUGUCACUGUGGGUGCGACUUGGUCAGAACUAAAAAAAAACCUAACGAUUCACUCGUUGCUCUUUAAAUACUAGGAAAGAGGACUCCUGGCAUAAUAAAAUAGUUUUUUCUUUUUUCUCGCCUUAAUAUUCAACUCCAACACAAUCUAACUCUUACGAUCGGCGGAGGAUACAUUCUUAGAGACCGUGUUGGCUCGUAGGUUUGUGAAUUUAGAGUGCUUGGCUCGUAGCUUACCUCCACAUCAUUUACCUCAAGUAUUCCAAGAGCGUGCUUACAAAAAAGGGACCGUGUUGGCUCUAUUAUCCUAUAUUUAUAUGAACGAACUGAAUCCGACAGCUUCGCAUCGGUCUUAGGAGGGCUUUCCAAAGCGUCCAACCAGGCCUCACAACCUACUCCAGAAGAAACUACAAUCACCAUCUGAUAUAUUCCCAACGACGAGCAGUGCCAUCCUUCGACGGGCCCAACAUGACCUGCCUUUGAAUUCCACUGAGACUAACUUGCGUUGUAAGCUCUCAUUUCCAUCAUAAUCCAAACAAUUUAAUCUUACGGCUUUGAAAAUAUUGUUAAACAGACAUCAUCAAUACAAAAAGAAGUCAAUCGGUUAUCAUCUGAGAUUCUAAACAUGCCAUAAUAAAAUGCCCGAUUAAUCAUACUCUAAUCUCUUACGAGGUGGAUCUCUGAUGUCACAUGGAAGACAGUUCGGAUUAAGCAUGCACACAUUUGGCUUGACAUCCUUAUAAGAAGAAGGUGUAUGAUGCAGAUACUAAUAAAUCUUUGGAGAUGAAUAAAAAAAAUCCCAUCAGUAUAUACCCAAAAGAAAAACGCUGAGUUGCACAACAAUAAUGACUAAUAAAUAAAUCUGCACAGGCGAAUUAUUACAAUGAAUCACAAAUAAACAAAGACCUAAAAUGCAGGUUAUUUUAAACCAUUAGAAUCUCGACCAGAUAUUCACAAACUCGAACACCUAGAUUCGACAAUACAAAACAUUCCCAAGAAUAUUUACAUUGAAAACAUUACUUUUUGUUGGUAAUCAACACUGGAAAAGCCUGAAUAGUUCACGAUAAUUAACCACACAAAGAGCCACAACCAGCCACAAUAAUAACUCUGAUGAACACAAAAAAAAGUCUGAUGAGCUUGCAUAAACCCACUGAUUAGCCAACAUAGAACAAGAAAAGCAUGACAUAAGCAUGCAAGUUUGAUGAGUAGCACAUGGUCAGAUCAAAGCAAACUUUCGGUUUUUUGCCAUCUUUAUCUAGCAUUAUUAGACUCUGCUAGAACUACUUUUCCAGUGACCCCCUUGUAUACAUACAUGCAUUAAGGCAGUUCAGCUCCACGUGAUGCUCAUUCACCAAUGAGCCUACUGAGAAACUCACUUAUUAGCCAACAUAGGACAAGAGAAGCAUGACCUAAGCACACAUGCUUAACAAAAAGCACACUAUCUGCUAAAAGCAAACUUUAGUUUUUUUCGUCAUCAUCAUUGAACAUUAUUAGACUCUAGAUCUACUUUGCUAGUAACCCCCUUGUAUAUAUGCAUUAAGGCGGUCCAGCUCCUCCCGAUGCUCAUUCACCACUGCUCGAACAACAUCACCAAUGGAGACCAUGCCAAUCAUACCUUUGUCAUCAACCACAGGGAUAUGCCUAAUGCGGUUGUCUACAGAUAGAAAAAGUCAUAACAACAAUGUUAUCAGUCAAUCUAGCCACACAAGCAACUAAUUGUACUUACAGAACAAACCUGUCAUAAGCUGCAUGGCCCGCAGAACCUUGGUAUCUGGUGUCACAGUGAUCAAUUUAUUCUGGUCAUAAGAAACCAAAAAUACUUUGUCAUAAGGCAGAAAAUGUAAUGCAAAUGAAGGAAAAAAUCUUAGUACAUAUCACCAUUGAACGACAGGAUUCGUACAGUACUGGUAUCAUACAAUGAACCGAGUAUCAAUAUGGUACGGUAAAAUCAAUAUAGACCACUAUUAGAAUAGAGGGAGAGAGAGAAGAAGAGGAAGAGGAGAUAGCGAGUACAAAGUAACACAGAUAUGUAGCAGAGGAGGAGAGGCAGCAUUGGGUGGUGAUGUGACAAGGAGAAGCAACAACAACAAGAAUGAUGGGUGCUGAUGCCAGAUGUUAGACUUAUUGUCCGAAUACAACUUGGUAUUGAUCAGUUGAUAGCCAUAAGCCUGAUGUGGUAAGCUAUCCGAACAAUAAGCUAGGUUCCAGAUUGACCAGAAUGGAAUUGCCUGAUCUAUGUGUCAGUUAAAGCCGUGAACCUGUGGUAUAAACGAGUGCACUGACCAAAAUGUUAAUACAAAUGAAAUGAAUACUUAUCACCUGAAGUUUUACAGUUUCUUGAUUUAAGGAGAGCAGCAUUCAUGCAACUUACUUCUAUUUUAAUGUAAAAAAAAUGUUCCUUAUGAAUUAUACAGAUCAAUAAUGCAUAAUUCCAAAAACCAGGACAAUGAAAAUGCACAAUCUACAUAAACCAAUCUGCAUAUUGCAAUAGAAACUGCUCCAGAUUACCUCAUCAGUCAUAAUGUCACCAACUUUAGUUGAUUUGGAAGAUCUUCCCUGCACAAUAAUUUUUCGGAGAUAAUCUGAAGAUGAAAAAAGUUGUUAUACGUACAGGUAAGUUGCUCCAACUACAGGCAAAAGAAAACAAUCACUAUCAACAUUGUUCUUGUAUUUCUGUAAAGAUUUUGAACAAGAAAAACAGUUAUUUUUUCAGAUCAACUAUUUAUGUGUGAAAUUGAAAGUUGCUUAGCUCAAUUCUCUAUACUCUAAAGCACAUGCUUGAAUAAUAAUUCACCAUUUGUCUUAGUACUUGGUUUAUAAGUUAUACUAAUUGCUGUGAUUUUGAAGCAGCCAUUUUCCAUAAAAUAUCCUAAAGUUGAAAAUUAGCUAGAUAUUUUUAAAGAAUGGCUUAUUAAAUUCCUAAACUGCAUUCUUUGUUCUCAAGUGGUUCUCAUGAACACCGCAAGUAGUUGCAGCUUAACGAACUCUUCUUUGAAAGCAAAGUACAAUAGUGACAUAGUCAGAGGAUCAGCUGCCUAGAUACAGAAUAGUAUGGACUAUGGAGUUGUUCGGAUUGCAAGUGGAUCAUUAAAAGGUAUCAUCUUACCAACUCACAUAUGGAAAUAAAAUGUUAAAAGGCAAACAUGGAAAUUAUGAAAAUAAAGUGACUAUCUUAAUAAUGACAAUCUUUGAACUUGGUGAACUUUCAAAAUUAAUAUCUAAAUUCAGGUGAUUGAUGAUAGAAGUAUUACUAUAGACAGGAUAACCAUAAACUGCCAGUAAAAACUAUUAAGCUAUCCUUGCUCUUGAAGUAGAAAGAACAAAAAAUUACUUACUGAUAUGCCAUUUUGUGCUAGCAUAUUAGUUAAUAACAUUGUAACUGUCAGAAGCCAUAUCUUGCAAGAUCAAUGAAACAGGAACUUCCAAUUUUAUAUUUAGUUGAAUGUAGAGACCUUCAUUUGUCUUGGUCUCCUUCUAAUGCAUGAAAUUCCUUUAAAGAUUCUAAUUUCAUUUGCACCAUCCAAAUGCAACAUGCAGUACAUGAUCACAUUAGAUCUCAUGUUUGCAUUUGAACACAGGUAUGUACAUGAAUGUGCAGAUUUGUGCAUGCAAACAAAUGCAUAUUAGUUUCCAUGUGCAUAUGUAUGUGUGAGCAAAUGUUUUAGUGCAAGUACCGAUUUACCACCAAGAAACAGUGUGAUGGCAAGUGACUACCUCUCUCAGUUACAAUCCCUGCAAGUGCCUUCUCUUCUCCGGGUUUCACCACAACCAAAGCUCCAACAUUGUGUUGUGUCAUCUAAAAGAGGUAGAAUAUUGAGCCAUCAGUUCAUAUACGACUGUCCAAAACAAGUAGUUGGUUCACACAGUAUAUAUGCAUAUGCUUGGUUAUACUAUAUAUACCUCACAUUUCAUUUGAUAUUCCUAUAGGAAAUCAAUAAACGAGUAUUAAUGCAAAAAGCAGCAUACCGAUUUCACAGCAUCAUAAACAGUGUCAUUAGUUGUACACCACAGCCAGGAACCAUCAGCACUCUUGCCUUUAGCUUUCAGAAUAUCUAGGAUAGUGGUGCUCUCAAAUCCAUGCUCUUCCAGUCGAGGUGAAGAGACUGACUUGAAUCGUGAAAACACAGUAGGUAGCAUGACUGGCUUCAUGACACGCAUGUGUUGAAGAAUAGUAUUUUUAAGAAGAUUUCCAUGUAAUCGGAAUGAUUGAAUUGCAACCUGCAUUUCUCCUGUCAUUGGCAAUACAGAUAUUACUACUUGAUUAACUAACUUCAAAAUAAAGAAGAACCUUAUCUAAACAUCUACCAGCCUUAUGCAUUUUGAAGCCAAGAAAAACAUAACAAAAGAGUUGCUUUAUCAAUUAAAGAAUGGCCAAAAGAUAUAUGGAUGGAAUGACAGAGAUAAUCUUCCUUAUGUGUCAUUAAUCCUUCUGAAAUGACAUUCUUCAAUGUCCGCAACAUAAAAAUUAUAGCACUUUAAACAAUUAUAGCUGGAUACCCUGGUAUUUCAAACAAUCAACUUUUCUCUAUAUCCUACAACAGUACCCUUGAAAGUUGGACUUUAGAAGGGCAUCCAAGACACACUAAAGCCAAUAUGAAAAAGAAAAAAAUAAAAGUAGUAAAUUGAUACAUUCACAUGAUUAAAUUCAAUUGUACGCGCUAUUAACAUCAGGAGUUUAUGAUAUUGCAGUAAAGCAGAAGCAUGAUGGUUCACAAACAUCCUCUAUUUACCAUCAUAUUUCCAUGCCAACAUUCAGGCAAAAAAAGGACCUAGGUCAAAAAAUUCCCACGCAGGAUUGUACUUCAAAUCCCACUGCUGUGUACCCAAAUAACACCAUGAUAGGUGAAGGAAACAAAUCCCCAUCUAACAACAGUUUUUGGCUUUUCAGUCCCAAGGCUCCCAGCAUAUCCUUACUACCUACAUAUGGUUAAGACAAUAAUAGGACUUUUAUUUGGUUGGCUCGUUGACUUAUGGGAUGAUCAUUGCUGCCUAUAUCAAAGUUUGUGAUUUGUAUGUUAUCCUAGACUGUAACUAUGGGAAACUCUUACAAGUUUGUUCCUAGAUCAAAUGAUCUUAUAACAAAGUUUUACGAUCCUUUGCCAAGAGGACAAUUGCAUUGCUCAUAUCAUGACAUCAUUAUUGGUGGCCUGUAAUGCACAAUGUGUGACUGGAACACAUUACCUGCACAGAUCGAUCAGUAGCUGUGUUCGUAAAGGCACAAAAAAGUUAAAAAAAAGGGAAGGGAUUAAAGAAGAUAUAGAUGCAUGCAUGUAUCUUUAUGAAUAUGUAGAUGUAGAUAAAAAUAAACUUGUUUAUGUAUAUCGAACACAUACACAUACCUGUCAGUGGCCUUGAAUUGGUUCCUAAUGGCCUCGAGUUUCUGCAUCGAAGACCUCAAUAUUAGCUUUAAAGGUCAGAACCAAUCUGGUUCAAUUUUUGUGAAAAAUCCAAACCAAAAUAAAAAGAAAAAAAAGGAAAGAAAAGGUUUUAAAGGUUUGGAAUGAAAUGCUCUGGUCUCUGAUCCAGUCUGGUUACAGGCUGGUAUAUACCAAGUGAUAGGCUCACCAUACAUGUAGACAAGCAAAGCUAUAGGUUUUAUGUAGAACUAGAUGUAUGCAUAUCUCAACUAAGCAUCCUAUUUUAUGUUUUCUUCUUCAUACCAAAAUUUAAUAAGCUAAAUUGCAUAUUAUCCAAUCAACCAUUACUAGUUAGUUUCAUGGUUCUAAUGACCCUGAUCGAAAAGCUCUUGAUAUAUAACCCUCAACAUUAACAACCACUUUAUUUUGUCCAAUCCCACUUUCAGAAAAUAGUUGUUUGAUUGCCAAAAUGACAUUUUAAAUGUCAGGAGCUGUAUCAAAGAUCAGCUGCUAAUCCCUUGUAAUACCUUGUGCUCCUUAUUGUAAGCCAUAGAAACAAAAAUAUUUCUGUGAGUAGCAUGCCUGAGACCCUUAAAGAGUGUAAUACGUAAAAAGAAUACGUAUAAUUGUUUAACCAUUCAAGUCACCCGUUGAUGACAUACUCUUUAAGGAGCAUCUAAGGAACGGUUUCAGUUAUCUUCACAAAGCAAUUCCAGAAUUGGAAGUUGUCUUAUGUUGCACAUUAUAUCAAAUGCAUCACAAUCACAUUCAAAGCACCAUUCUUUUUUUUCUUUUGAAUGGAUCCAAGCUUGGUAUCAAUCCGUAAUAAAUUGUGUUAUCUUUUUUAUCCUCGUCAGCUAAUCAUUUGAUACACAAUAUCUUGACUUACUUUUGAUUAUUUAACUCUGCAUUUUGAAGAAAAAAAAAUAGAUUCUAUCCCAAUAAACAAUCCAUUCUAUGUUAAAAAUGCAAACAGAGGAACAGAACACAAUCUUUUUUCCUUUUUCUCCUUUUGAAUAGAAAAAAAGAUGGUAGCAUUAACACCAAAAACAACAUAAGAUGGAGGCACCUAAAAAAGUCAUUAAAGACCACUUUCCGAAGAGGCAUUCCAUCCGAGUUCCAGUCUCAAAGAACCCCACUCCCAUUUUUUUGAGAGAUACCGAGGCAUAUGUUUUGCCACUAAUAGCUGAAGAAAAGCCAAAAAAACGCCGUGCAGUAACAUGAUCAACACAAUUCUUAAGUCAAAGCUCCUACAAGAGGCCCACAAUUCAUUCAGGCUAUCGCAAGCAAACACAGAAGCACUAUGCCCUGAUCCCUGUUAGAAAUAUCAUAUCAAAUCAGAUCCGAUCCGAUCCGAUCCGAUCGUAUGAGGACAGCUCAAACAACUGGGAUCUCCUAGGUUCUUGAACCCUACGUAAGUUAGAACUACAACCAAAAGGAAGGGAGAAUGAACGAAUCGGCCGAAUAGACCCGCACACGAAAGGGUAGAAGGCAGGCAUUCUACAUACGUGUGAUCUUGGAAUUAAGGGGCUCACCUCCGGGAGGAAGACGAUCCCGCUGACUGCCUGAGACUCGCCGAUCGCGAGAAGAGAAGCGGAGGAGAGAGAGGGUAGAGAGGAGACGAUCGUGGUGGGGAAGGGAGAAGCAGUGACACCCUUCUCUCAAACUUGCCAAGUUGCCUUUCUUCUUAUCAACAUUGCCACUCUGGCCGUCUUCGGUGGGAAUAAACUGAUGUAUUAUUUAUGACAGGUUAUGUUUAUUAAUAUCCUAAACUUAAUUAAAUUAUUUUUCGAUCGUGGAUAAUAACUAAUCUCAUCCUGGAAAUAUUUAAUCAUCUGUCUUGUCGCUUACAGGGUACAGCAUUUGUUGCCCCUCGAAUUGAUUAUUGGAUGGUGUGUCAACGUCGAUUUGAAUUUACUUCAUUCAAGUUUUAAUGUAAACCAGCUAAUGGAUAAACACUUAAUUGAAUUAUACUGAACGUUCGAUGAGUCGAAUCCUAAACAUUUUAGUCAAUGAAAUGGAUCAGUAAAUUAUCUUAUUGGAACCCAUCCGGAUAAAUAAUAUUUGACUUUUUAUAAAGAUAAAAAAGAGAAUGUGGGAUUUGAGGUAAUAUAUUGUAAUAAGUUUUUACUAAUUAAACUAUCCGAAAUCUUUAAUAAUUUUAAAAUUAAUUAUUAAUAUUAUAAAAUAAUUAUUUAUAGAUAGUGCUAGGGGUGUUAAAACUGAUUCGAAUCGAAUCAUUUUAUUUUUUCAGAUCGAUUCCCAUAAAAUAAGAUAGUUCGAACCAAAAUCAAUUCAAAAUCAAUUAAUUGAUUUAUAAUUUUAAAUAAUUUAAUAAAUUAGUUAAUUUUUAAGAUAAAUAUACCAAAUUUUUAGAAUUAUAGCAACAACAUGAAUCCUCAAGAUUCAUUAAAUGAUAAAUACCAAAUACGUAGUAAUAAAUAUUUCAUAUUUUAUAGUUUCUAUAUUAAAUUGAAUCUUUAAUAUUAAUGAAUUAAGUUGAAGCAUUAGAUUGAAUCAAUCAAAUAUUAAAAGAUGAUUUAUUCAAAAUAUACAAAGGUCAAACUUAUAUCUUUCUCGAACCAAACUCUAUAAUCAUUCUUUACAUGAUAUUUUUUAUUACGAAAGUAGUAUUUUACUAUGAAGAUUUUUUUUUAUAAAUUUAUAUAAGAUUUAUAAAUUGAAAUGAUUUACACUUUACUUUUAUUUUAUUAUUAUCAACUUCUUAGUACUUAAAAUAUUGAGUCUUUCAUACUUUAAUCUUAAUUCUUCCUAAACAUAUAUAAUAAUCAGUUUGUUAAAGUUUUAUUUAUUCUUAGUUUUAUCAUAAUGAAUUUUAAAUAAGUUCAACUAAGAAGAAAUAAAAUUAAAAAUAAAUUAUAUAAAAAAACUCAAUUAUAUUCAUGCCAUAUUGAGAAUAUAAUAUUUAUCAUUUCAACUAGUAUUAUCACCUGAUGUAAAUUAUAUAUACUUAAAAUUUUUAGAAUCAAUUAAUCCAAAAACUAUACGGACACCAAAAGUAUAAAAAUGCAUUGAAGAAAGUAUCAUUAUAAAAUAUAAAAUAAUAUUAAUAUUUUAUAUUUUUUAAAAUAUAAAAAAUGAUUGACAUUAUCCGUAUUUCAUCUUUUGGUAAAAUAUUGAUAUAUCCAAUGUUCACUCAAAAUUAUUUAUAAAUGACUAAUAUCAUUGUAAUAGUAUUACUUCAUUUGAGAAUGUAAAAAUAGAUUGGAAAGAUAUCUAAAACAGUAUCAUCAUAUAAUUAUUCGAAAUAGAUUAUUCUUUGUUAUUAUCUAAAUAUCUUAAUUAUGUAUCUUAUUGUGAAUAUUACUUUUUAAUAUUAUUUUUGACUAAUUCUUUAGUAUAGUUUUAUAAGUUAUUGGUCUAAGCUACCUUAAUGGUAACAAGACUAAUAUAAUAAUAUAAAAUAUAGUUUAAAAUAUCAUAUAAAUUAUAAAAUAUUUAUUAUAACUUAUAUCUCAUAAAUCUAUUGUCUUAGGUCACUUUAAUACCUAUUAGUCAAAUAAGACUUAAUGAUGUAAAUUACAAAUAAUAUUAAUCAAUUUUUUUAAUCUAAUAUAUGCCAAAAUAAUUUGAUAAUAAUAAAAUAAUAAUUAUUGAAUAUUAAUUAGUAUAAAAAAAAACUCAAAUGGCAACUAUAAUCAUGAUAAACAUGUAUCAUGCCUUUUAUGUGAAAUAUCAUUUCAUAAUUUUCUUUCAUGCUUAUAUGUAUUUAACAACCACAUAAAUAUCUAAAGUAAUAAUUAAAAUGUUUAAAUAGCAUAAGUAAUUAAAUUUAAUAAUAAUAAAUUAUAUCACAUGGAUUAAAAUAAAAUAUCUAUACUUUAUUUUUUCUAUUUAAUUUUGAUAAAAAUAUUCAUCAAAUUUUAUAACAUAAUUUAUUAAUAUUAAAUUAUGGCUAUUGAGAUAAAAUUACCAAAUUAGAAAGAUAAAAUUAUAACAAAGGAUAUAAAAAAAUCAAUUUCACGACGGUAUAAUAGUAAUUCUAUAACUAAAGGUGUAACUAAAGAAAUAAAAAUUUGAAGGGUAAAACGGAUAAAAAUGAACUAAGGACAUAGAUUAAAAUUAUUUGAUUAUGAAUGAUAAAACUAGAAAAAUAUACUAAAUGAGAUAUAUUGGAAUUAUUUAAUUUCUAAAGGGUAAAGGUGUCCUUUUAUUGAAUGAAAAAAUAAAACCAUAAAACCUUCUCUUGCAUCCAUUCCAUCGCACCCAUGCGCACGGGUCCUCACCAGUGAUUGCAACGGUCAUUCACCGCUUGCGCGCUACCGUAGUGAGUGGUCGUUCUCAUGCGGUCGAUUAACAAUCGUGGUGACAUCUCAGCCACCAUCCCAUCACACAUGCCACUUGUCCUCUAGCGGUAGUGCAAAGAAACUCCACGAUCAUCAUGAUGCGUGGCUGUGCUCACCCGUCGAUUGGCCUUCACCGUGCAUUCCACCACGUCCACGCUCGAUGGUCCUUGCAUGCACGGCUAUCACUGCUGCAUGAGCGUCAUCGACCAUGCAUCUCCUUCGCAGUCAACCAACAAGCCUUACAAUCAUCACACAAAUGCUGGGCGGCCUGCAUCAACAGCAAGCAUGUCCAUAACUGACUGAUUGCCCCUGCGUGCCAUCAACACAACACAAUUGUGAGCCAUGUGAUGUAGCCUACGAUCGAUCUCAACCGCCGAUCAUAGCCGCACCAUAGUUGACAUUGUCACAACCACUUUCACUGUCCUCGUUGCUAUUAAUUAAGGGCGGUACUACCUUCCUAUGCUACCACACACAUUCAAUGUUACUGCACACAUCGCUCGUGUGUAGUGCCACUUAUGGCCCAAUCCUACUGUAGUAGGCAGCAACAAUGCCACCCAACGUAGUCAUUGCCGACUAUAGGGCUGGGCAACCAACAGAGGCCACCACAUCUCAAUAGUACUUUGGGCGAUAGUAGGCCGUCGAUGAUAGCUUGCCGAACAUAUAUAAGCAGGAUACUUUUGUCAUGGUUUCAUUGACGUUUUAAGCGAGGAGCAUGGAGGAAUAAAUUUAUAGAUCGGACAAGAUGAACAAGAUAUAAAAGCAGAUCAAUAAGAUCGUUCAAGCCUCUUACAAUCAAAAUUGGAUUAAAAUAUUUUCACAAACGAAUUGUGCUAAUAAACAAAUUUAAAUACAAAAUAGAUCUUACAUAUUUUUAUGAUAUAAGAUAUUUAAUUUUAAAAUGACUCUAAUACUAAUUGUAAGCAUAAAAACUAUAAUUAUGUUUUUGUUGUAUGAAAAAAAUUUAAUAUAAAAUUAAAAUCAAAUAAUGAUAAAUCAAAUAUUAUAAUUAUAUAUCUUUUUAUGUUAUUCAAAAAAAUCUUUAUCAAGUACAUCGUCAUCCGAUUAUAAAGAAACAGUGACGUCAAUUUGUAAGGAGAAUUAGAUUCGUCUUCUAUUUUUUUAUAUUCUUCGUAGACCACUUUAAACAAUGAAGUUAGAGGAAUGAUAGAAGAUAUAUAAUCUUCAUAUUCUUCUCAAUAUAUAAUGUCAUGUCAUAUCAUAUCAUGUUACAUUAGAUCGUGUAUUAAGUCCUUAAGAUAUCAUGUCUAUUUAUAUGUGAAAGCAGAGAGUAUAUGGUAAGCAAUUAAGAUAGUCACUCUAAGAAUCCUAUUAUAAUUAGAUUUUUUAAUAUUAAUCAAUAAUUAUAAUUAGAAUUCAAUUAAAUCUAUAAUAUAUCUUGUCUAAUUAGAUAUAGGUACAUAAGCUAAUAAUUUUAAGUCUAAAAAUUUAAUACCAUAACGAUGAAGAUAAAAUAUGAUGUCGCUCAUAAUAUUUUUUAAUAGUCUUAAAGUGUUUUCAGUACCUCAACAAAAAUAUUAUAGCACUAUUAGAAGUCAUUAUAAGUAACCUAAAUAAGUCUAAAAAUAUGACAUCGUAUGAACAAUGUGAACCAAAUAGUCAUAAUAAACUAGUUUACAUAUUUUUCAAUAGCUUUAUCGUGUUUAUUAUUUCAAUAAAAACAGUAAAACGCUGUUGAAAAAUACUAUAGCAAUUAAAAAUCAAUGAAAAUCUAAUGAAAAAAUUAACGAGAAAAAUACCAUUAGGAUUAGUGAAGGGUAUUUUGAACAUUAGUAAAUUAAGGUGCUCCAUUUGAGAAAAAACAAAAUAAGGGACGUUUUUGGAAAAACAAAUAAUUUUAUUUAUUGACGGAUAUUAUUGAAGAAAUCAAAGAAAAAACGAAAAUUAUAUUUUUAAAAUUUUAGAAAGUAGAGAUGCUCAGUGAAAACAAGAAAAGAAGGCACUCAGUUUUUUUCCUAAAAAAUAUUCUUCCUAUUUUUACGUUAAAUAACAAGUUAAUUAUUUCCCCAUCGCUCCUUUUUAAUUAUAUUAUAUAUAUACAUAUAUAUAAUAUGUAUACAUACGAACAUAAUUAUGCAUACGAACCGGGGUGUCUUUGCAUAUAUACUACGUUCUCUCUCCCGUACACGUAAUCGAUCACCCUCCGUUUCUCGUCCUUGUUUUUAUUUAUUUAUUUAAUAAUAAUAAUAAUAAUAAUAAUAACAUUCUUGUUAUUAUUAAUUUUGUUUUCUGGUCCGUCUCUGCAAAGAUUCCAUUUCCUCCCGAGCAUCCAAUGGUUCUCUCCCUUGUUGUUUCUUCUCCACUAAUCCACCUUCUAUCUCCGCUUCGAAGAAACCGAGAGGUGGGUCUGCCUGUCUUCUAGCACCUCGUCGUCGGCGUGCCCGAAGGGAGUAAGUUCGUGGUUUCUCCGGCCGCCCUCCAGCGGCGGCAAUCCCUGCUCAGAUGCCGGUCGUUGAUAUCACCCCGAUCUGCCUUGUCCAUUUCCAGCGAUCGGCACCGGUUAUUCUUGGGACAUUUGUGGCAUCCACCUCCGUCCUCUGACGGCCUGGCCCUAGGAGGGAAAACCCUGCCCCCUAUUCCAUUUGCGUUUAAUCCAAACAUAGGAUGUCAACGUGAAUUUAUGCGAUUAUUCCUAAUUUUGCGUCCUCAAUGCCUUCAACUCUCGCUGAGACCGCCUAACUUGGUUGGUUUCCGUGAAUGUGUCUUGGAUCGGUAUUAGGAAGAUUCAAUUCAACUUUAUGUACUGCAUAAGUCUGCUUAGAACCCAGAUCCAUUUGUACGGUACGGCCUAAGUCCCAAUAUUCUGUUGAUAUCCAUUGGGGUUUGGAAGUUGGCAGAUAAAUCCCGGCUUUGCUUCCCACGCCGCAAUUGUUCUUUUCUUUUGUUGGUACUGCAUGUGUUGGGAUAGCGUCUCCAUCACUGACCUAAUAGAUAUGGGUUGCUGUGGUUGCUUUGGAUUUUUGAGAAAGCGCCAUCGAUCCCUAAUGCCUCUCAGAGGCUCUGGUGCCCCCUUGUCCCAGGAGUUCCUUCUGCCAGAAAAUAUGGAUGAUGCUGAUGGUAUCUUCUACAACGGAGACUAUGCAAACACUCUAGAUGGAAGUGACACUGAUUUGCAGCGGCCAUCGAAACGUUCUGAAGAAAUUAUCUCGGAUAGAGCUAAAAAGGGAUUGAUAUGUAGGGAAGUCCCGGUUAAAGAAACUAGGAAGGUUAUUGUUUCUGAGGUAAAACUUAUUUUUCUUUCAUACUUAUGCUGAUUUAGAACUCGUGAAUCAUUGUUUUUCUCAGUUUAGACAUACAUGCGAUGCAGCUCCUAAUUAUGUAUGUGGUUGCCCUAUUAAUUUUGGUUGAAUUGCCCAUUUUGAAAGCUUGCCUCCCUCUAAUCUUCGAAAUGUUUUAUUAAAGGAUAGUGAGUUCUCGAAUCUUCAUCUGAACAUAAAAAAGUUACACAAUAAUUUUGCUUAAUGCAUGUGUGCAUGCAGAUGUUACCUUGAUGUGACCAGCAGAAAAGCUUACAGAUCCAGUUUCAUCCAUAUUCAAAAUAUUUAUAGACUUGCUCAGGGGCUCCAAAUAUGUUAAAUACCUUGUUAGACAAGAUUUACACUUCUUCUGUGUGACUUCUGCUGUACCAGCAUAUGAAAUAAAAAUACUUUGGUGAUCUCUAGGCAACUUUUGCUGCAAAAAAUUUAUCAACAUGGUACAGUUGGAUUUUUUUCCUCUUUCAAGGUAUCAAAGUAGGUCAACUUUGUCUUUUUGGGGUCAGUUUCGUUACCUUCCAUUUUGUGUCUGAUGGUCAAGGCAGUUCAUCUGAUAUAAGGUGUUAAAUUGUUUUACAAAAUUAAUAUUGAAUUUUAUAUAUUCAAAUUGCUUACAAGUCUAUAUGUCAAUACAUGUCUCUGGAACUUUAAGAGUUCUGAUGCUGGAUUGAGAAAACUACGUCUACAUUAUUUUUUGCUUCUUUAUUAAUUUGCAACCAUUCUGAUUAUUCUUUGUUAUUUAUCUGCAAUAGGAUAAUAGUGGAAAUAAGAUGGUUAAUGAAUACAUCCGGGAAUGUAAGAUUGGUUCUGGUAGCUAUGGCAAAGUGGUAAGCUUGAUACUUUGAAAAAGUCACUAUCUUUUGCUAUCUUUUGUGAAAACAAAAAUUUCUCACAACUGUAUACAGGUCCUGUACCGAAGCAUCAAGGACGGAAAGCAAUAUGCAAUUAAGGUACUACAUUUUUUUUGUAUUUACGUUUCUCUUUUUGAAUUAAUGUGUAAAAUUAGAACAAGAAAAUGAACUACAUAUAUCAAAGUUUGUCUUAUCUAUUUGUCAACAUAAAUCUUUACAUUUGUCAACAUAAAUCGAAAAUUGCUAUGUUUUCAUCCAUAAAAAAAUGUUAAAUUUCCUCUAGAGUGGUAUAAAAGAAAAGUGACUCUGCAUUGAACCAAUUCAAUCAGGUAUGUUUGUGCAUAAAUUGUCAUUGUAUUUGACCAUAAAGAUGAAGAUCACCUUGUAGAGUAUGACUGUGUCUCCUCAGGUGAUUGAAACAAGCAUCACUAGUCCAGAAUAUAACUAUGUAAGCUAUAAUUCUUUUUGUUAAGGUUGAUGAGUCAUUUCUGAUGCUGUGAUGAGUUGAAUGGCCAUAACCUGUUGAUAAUUCUUGAUGUUGCCUACUAGAUUGAACCGUCAACUCCUAACAGAAUCCAAGUGUUAGAUUUCCUAGGAUAACACCAAUAAACAUUCGCUUUCUUCAACCAGAUUAUAGAACUAUCUUUGGACCAAAAUUUUGACUAUCCUAGAAACAUUGGAAUUUGAUCACAGGCCUGGAUUAUGUGGCUUGUGGAGAUUGAAUAAAAUUUCCAAUGACCUUGCGAAGCUUUCUCUUCUAGGUCAUUGUCAAAAAUGGUCUCCAAUGCAGAAAACGAUUCCUUACUUGUCUUUUUUAUUUGUUCUAUAAAAUUUUAGCUGUUUCAUAUUUUGAACUUUUUUACUUCAACCUCUCUGAAUGAUUGUGUUGUCUUUGUGGUUUUUAGCUCUGUCUAGCCCAAUAGUGAGAACUGUCAUUCUUCUGCAAAUUUGAAAAAUAAUUUUUCUCCAAUGUAAAUUCUUAUGCAAUAGUUGGCCAUGACUAUUGUUUGUUCAUUUCCAAGAUUUUGUGGACUUUGCUGGUGAUUCUGUGGUCCAAUGGGAUUGAUAAUGCAAGAACUCUAUUUUUGAAUAAAUUUUUCUAGAUUCUUAACAUUGCUUCCUCUAUUACUUUCUGAUUGUGGAUCUAAAGCCAACUGAAACUGAUGCUGAAGUCUUUGCCAUAUGGCUUUUGUUUGUUCUUUUGACAUUUUUGUAUGUAUUUUAGGAGCUUCUCAAAUUAGUCCUACAUACUUAUUAAUUGUCAAUUUGAGAUACAUUGUGAACCUUAGUUUUAUGAUCUCUGUUCUCGGCUUUAUGCACCUAUGUCAAAGGGGGGUUGCAAAUAGGUUCAACAAGGAAAGCAAAUUUUAAACAAAGAACAACUACAUUGAUCUCUUCCAUUAACCACCCUUACAGGAUUCCAUAAGUACCUAUUUGUUUGUUGAUAUGCAGAUUUUCCAUAAAUCACAUUUGUUAAAGUUGCGUGUGGCUCCUUCUGAAACUGCAAUGACUGAUGUUUUUCGGGAGGUUAGUAUUUUAUUUUGUGAGCAUAUAUUAGUUAUUUGAAUGCAUUUUCUCAUGGUACAUAUUAUUUUGGCCAUACUGUAGAUUUAGUGCUGAUCUGUAUUUGUCUGUUCUGGUCAUCAUAAAUUGUGGGUAUUUAGGAUAUUAACAUGUGACCACGUAAACUGUUUAGCUUAUGGACAUUGUGCUGUUUGACACCUAGAUCUUGUUAGUUAGCACGGAAUCUGCAAUUCUUUUCUGUAGCUGAAUAGCUGCUCAUUUAGAGGAAACAGAACCAGAUAGUUGCUGUCCUGGGGCUGCUACUGCAAGUUCCGGCAGGAUAAAAUUUUCAGCUUGCUGGGUGAUCAAAAGGUUGGUCAAGGGUUUAAAACAAAAAAAGGCUGGUCAAGAGUCAAGAGCUCCAGAUUUGUCAUCAAAGCUGGGAGAUAAUAGUUUUCAAAGCUGGGAUAUUAUAGCUGUAUUGCUGUCAGAGAUGUCAAAGGUUGUUGAUUGGACUUGGCCCAUCUCCAAUACAUUGCUCUGAUAGCAUGUGAGAUUUACUUCUUUUGCCAAUCAGAUACAAAGGAUUGCAGUCUGGCAAUGGGAUUGCCAGAUACAAAGAUUGCUACUGUGUUCCUCUUAUUAUUCUUGAUCUGCUUUAAGUGUGUUGAGAUUAUUCAGAUAUCCUUAUAUCUUAACUCAAUCAUCAUGCCUUUGAAGAUGGAUUCCUUUCCUUUGGCACAUUUUAUUGGAGUACUCUGACAUCAUACUUGUUGAUAUAUUAUAUAUAUUCUACCAACCGAUACGAUAUGACCAUCCUAUCAGGUUUUAUGCAAUUAGAGGAGAAAAGGCCUCUGAAGUUGUCAGAACAAUUCAUCUAAACUUUCUCUCAUAAAGUACAUGGUAACAUCUACACAUAAGCCCUUACUGGUUGUCAUGAUGAUUGGUUCACUCUCAACAAGGGUCAACACAGGUCUAGGGUGGAUCAGGCUUGAAUUUGCUGCCGGUCACAUAAAAAACAAUAUGAUGGUGCUUUGAUUAAAUAGUGACAUUGUCCCCACCAAAGUUGAAUGGCAGAAAAAUACUCUCUUGUUGGAUGAGCUUGAGUUGUUUGGGACAUACCAGUUAUUGUAUCUGGAUAGUUCAGACAUGGAACUUGCUGAAACAGAUAAUCAUCCCACCAAACAAUUCUUGGUCUUAAACGUUUAAGAAAUUGCAAGAAGCUUAUAUCUGUUGACUGCUAAUUUUUUAAUGGUAUAAUUUGAUUGACGUGUCAUUGGCUAUCAAAAUGUGAAAUUUAUACCACCAGAAUAAACUCCUUUUCAUUACUUCUUGUGGUCUAGUUACUCAGCUUUGUUGGUUUUCUUUUUACACCAGAUAAUGCAUAUAUCAUUUUUCAUGCUGUAUUUAUUGCUUGCGGCAUUUGUAGUUUAGCAACCAUGUUUUCUUUGCAGGUAGCGAUCAUGAAAAUGUUGGACCAUCCAAAUAUAGUUAAUCUCAUUGAGGUCAUUGAUGACCCAGACACAGAUCACUUCUAUAUGGGUAUCCUACUAUGACUUUCUCUGUAGCUUUUCUAACUUAAUUGUUGCUACUUCUCCUAUUGGAAGUUAUACAUGCUCCUUGUUGGUUAUUGACUUGAUAACCAUGGUUUAAUGCUAGCUCUUCUCCUUUGCAGUACUGGAAUAUGUUGAAGGCAAGUGGGUAUUCGAGGGUUCUGGUGCAGGUAAUAAUUUAGGAGAAAGUACCACUAGAAGAUACUUGCGAGACAUAGUUGCUGGCCUCAUGUAUCUCCAUUCUCAUGUAAGAUGUACAUAUAAUUGUUGGUUUUGUACUUAUAGAGCUAGUUUCGGACUUGUCCAAGUUGAGUUUAGUUUGAUUCUACAUGUAUUAAGUCCAAUCUGAGUGGUUUUUGUAAUCUCUACAAACAAUAAAUGGUUAUUGCGCUUAUUUGACCAUUAAAAUGACACAAAUUUAGGAUCAGUUUGUUCAGGUAUUAAUUUCCUGUUUUGAUUUUCAAGAUGAUGUUUCUUCUGAAAAAUAGUUCAAUUUAUUUGCACAGACAAUACUCAAUUAGUGAGCCUUAUCCUACCAAUGUAGCUACAUCUCUUGUUAUUGAGGCUUAACUUGAGUGGUAUGUUGGUUGGCUUAUUUUUUGGGUGAAGUACUGGUUCUGGCAAUUAUGAGAAGUUCUAUUCCUUCGUUUCCUGGUUCUUUUUUCUACUUAUUCUCCUUGCUAUGCAAUUAAAAUGGUUAGAGAUCAAUUUAUUUGAGUAAAAGGUAGAUCCUUGGGCGUGACCAGACUUUUGGAACAUCUAUGAUCUAUGAUGAUAUAUUACCUCCAAAAUCUUAACAAAAAAGGAGAGAAAGAAGGAAAUUCAAAGUUUUCCACUAAACAAAAAGAAAGCUAUGAGAUCUUUUUAACUUUGCACUAAAAAUGAUCUUGAAAGUGUUUUCCAAAUUAAUUUAAAAGUUUUACUGGCCUAGUUUCUUGAUAUCAUUAUUUUAAGUUCAAAUUGAUGUACAUGUUCCUCUUGGUAUGUCAUAUAUAUCUUCUAAAAUUUUUUGAACACUAUUAAUGGUUUUCCAUGUUUUACUGAUUGCUUAUUAAAUUGGUUCUGAGUCAUUAGUUGUAUGACUUUCCAAUCUAUUUGUAUCAUUAAGACUCUAGAUAAGCUAGAACUUUGAAUAUGCAGGAUACAUGUCCAGUGUCAUUCUAUAGUCUAUAGGCGAGGAUUUGUUUUUACAAAAUGCAUUUGAAUUAGAUGAACAUAAGUUAGUGCUAUAACCUUUUCAUAUCAUUUAUACAAAUGAUGGGUCAUGACAUGUAUAGUUCUAAAUUCUAAUAACAUUCUAUAGUUCCAUCACUUUGUCUAGGGUCCUAAAGUAUAGCAUUAAGUAAAACUAGAAUAUGCUUAAAAGUUUGGCUGGGUUAGCAUUUGAUGUACUAAACAAUAGACGAACCUAUUCAUGUCAGCUGACAGUUGAAACUGUUUGGAAGAGAUGCAAAAUAUUGCUUGGACUUAUUCAGUUUGACUGCUCAUUCCACCUUCUUGAUUGUUGUGUAUGUCAUACUAGUUCUGUCAUAAGUGCAGAAUGUCGUCCAUGGAGAUAUUAAACCUGAUAACCUUUUGGUGACAAGAAACAACAACGUAAAGAUAGGGGACUUCAGUGUUAGCCAGGUCUUUGAGGUACUGUUGAUUUGUCAUUUUUUCCUUUUGCUAUUUAGCACUGAAUAUUAUUUUUGAUGCAACAGCUAGAAGUAGCUGGUCAUAGAUUUUUGCCCCGAUUACUGGUAGGCAAAGUUACUAAUUUCCUCAGUUGCUCCAAAGAAUGAACCUUUCACAAUUUCCAGGCUCUAAUACUGUCAACACCACAUUAUACUCUAUAAAUUCAUGUAUGAUCAAUCACACGAGGGAUUUUUGCACAGCAUGACACUGAAAUUAUUUGCUCAUUUUUUAAAACUUCAAGCUUUAAAGAUUGAUUUCUUAGAUGCUUAAUAUGUAAUUCUUCUUCUUAGUUUAAUGCUCCUCUGUUUUUCUGAUUAUUUCACAACUGAAAAUCUAGAUGUGUUUUAUAGUAUUUACUAUGUAUGCUUGGCCUACCCAACUGCAUUAGCUAGUGGUGUUUGAUCAAAUAAAAAUGCCCAAAUUUUAAUAAAUUAUUUGAGUGCAGUCUUGGUAACUAUUUUUACAUCUUAUUUUCAAACCAUGCAUUAUUGGAGAAAUAUCAAUGACCUUCAGACUUUUGCUUCUUUUUAUAUGCAUCAUUAGUAGUUCAAAAGAUUCAGAGAUAUAGGUUUUGUUAUCUUUUUGUAGUUUGUCAAGGACUGCUUUACAUUCAGUCACACUGAACCUACACCCUUUGAUACUGCUUUUUUAUAUUCUUGCUUUGGCUCAAACUGAGUUUAAUAGACAAUGUAACUACUUUCCCUCCUUAUAUAUAGAGGAAAAAAGACCAGUACAUGAGAUAAAAGGAAAACAACCGGGAGAAGUAAAAUCUUUUGUUAUGUAAUUGUGGUCAAAUUAAUCAGAUAUAGUUUGUAGAGGUCAGGACUAACUUGAGCUUAGUUCCAAAUGCCAUCUAGUUUGUUGGAAAGCCAGCACAUAUCUUUGGUCAUGAAAUUUUAGCAUAUAUUAUAUAUUGAUCAGUGUUCUCACUGUUAAAUCCAAUGAAGUUCACAUGCAUAUGGAUAUCAAUAGGUGUUACUGUGCUGACAGACAGGAGAUAUUUUGACCAAUCAACAUCAAACUUAAUUCAGACACUUAACAACCAAACAUAAAAAAUUUAACACUGAUGAAAACUUUCAAUGUCUUGAUCGAUGAUCAAAUAUGUAAAAGGAAAAAUAAAGAGAGGAGAGAUUGAAUGAAAAAAUAUACAGUGGUUUUGUAUAUUAUUUCAUUCAUACCUCCACCAAAGAAUUGGAUUUCAAAUUUUUGAUAUACCAAGAGAGGUGAGAUUGAUGAUCAUAAAAAUAUGUAGUAUAGCACUUAAUGCAUAAACAAGAAUUGGAUUGGAUAGAUCCUGACUCAUUGUCCUAUUCAAUUAUGAAUCAAACUAUUGCUUUCUGGUCAUCAAAUUUCAUGCUCAGUCGAUAUUUGGUUCCAACUGCAUCAUAUUGUGUCCGGUACUCUCUGUUGACACUCCUAUCCUAUGGUCCAAGGAAUCCAGUACACUUGUUCAAAUACAAUUACUCAGACACAUUUUAAGUAUAUGCUCUUUAUAAUGAUUUUCUGUCCUCUCUAUCUAGAAGUUAACUAUGGCCUUCACUUGCGCCCAUACUCUAGUGGUUAGUCUACUUUCUAAUAUGUUAUUAGAUGUUAUAUUAGCUUGAACUAAGUGUUAUUUUGCUGAUAUUACUCUUUUUUUGUUGUUCUUAGUUGAUAGCCAUGCUAAAAAAUAUAAAUUCAUGUGUAAACUGCAGGAUGAUAAUGAUGUGCUCUGGAGAUCCCCAGGAACCCCUGUUUUCACUGCACCUGAAUGCUGUCUAGGUGAGUAAGACAUGAUAGCAUGUUCUAGUGAUAUAACUCAUGUAAUGGUACAACAUUCCCUUGAUACUUUUAUACAGGUUUAACCUACCGUGGUAAGCCUGCCGACACAUGGGCCCUAGGUGUCACUUUGUAUUGCAUGAUAUUCGGGCAAUAUCCUUUUCUGGGGGAUACACUUCAGGACACAUACGACAAGGUUCGACCUUACUCCACUAGAAACCUUUUCUUUUGCUGAUUGUUUAGCGAUGAUCGAGUCUAAAGUGAUUCUGGUGCAUGCUGCCUUAGAUUGUCAACAGCCCACUGAUCAUUCCUGAUGAAAUAAAUCCACAACUGAGAAGUUUGCUAGAAGGGCUUCUCUGCAAAGGUUGGCUGCAGUUCAGUUUUCUAUAUUUUCCACAAAAUUUCUCUUGAUUCUUAUCGUUCCCUAUUAUUUUCACAUGGCAUACAUGUGCUGCAGAUCCCCAGAACCGGUUUACCUUGCGUGUUGUAUCGGAGCAUCCUUGGGUCGUUGGCGAUGAGGGUCCGAUCCCGGAGUACUUGUGUAAGUGCAGGCGAAAGUCUUCUGCGUGAAAAAUAUGGCUGGAGCAUAUCUUGUCUUGGCUUGUGAGUUUGCUUGUGAAGCCUGUACAGAUGAUGGUAGUUGAAAUAUGAGACUUUGGUGGCUAUAAAUAUAAUGAAGAGCAUCAACCAAAAGAAAAAGUCCAUGCACUCAUCUUAGUUAUGCUUUCUGGGCAUUAAAAAUGUUGAUCCAGUUCUACUAUUUUCGUACCUCGCGAAGAUAGCAACUUAUCUUCGAGAAUAACAAGAGAGAGUCGGCAAAUAUGCGUGGACGAUUUUAUUACUUGUUGGCACCCCACCUUGAUAAAAUCCUGUUGGACUUGCUAACAUAUGUUUUUUAUCCUGUUGUGUGUGUGUGUGUGUGUGUGUGAGAGAGAGAGAGAGAGAGAGAGAGAGAGAGAGAGCUUUCCACUUAAAAAGUUGUUCGACAGAACCAUGCACUUUCAAGGUAUGAAUGGUGUGGCGAAGUCACACGACUCCCUCUUACCAAAAUAAAUCUGCUAAUAAGAUUGGCGCAAGCAACAUUUCAGUAUUUUGCCAGACCCGUGAUAUGGGGAGAAUCGUCCUCGCCUCAGGCCAGCAUUUAAUUGACAGUAGGUAGAUCAGCUGUGGCUGUCAAGAAAGGAUUCCUGUGAAUCUGCGAACAGUUACGUGUAAAAUUGAGAUAUAUAUUGUAAAAAAUAAAAUUAUUCGUUAAGACGAUGAAUGUUUAUAUAUUUUUUAAGAAUUUUUUAAUAAUAUACUUUAAUUACAAAAUCAAAUCAAUUACUCAAAUUCUAGAUUUAUUCUCAAAUCAAAAAAUUGAGGAUGUAAGGAAUAUAAGGAUGUUAUUUCAUUUGUUUCUAUUAUGAUCUUUCAUUGUAAGAUUGUGUUUCUGUCAAGAUGUCAAUUUUGAAUUGAUUUAAUUGAAAUAUAUUAUGAGUAAGAGGUUUUGUGAGGGAGCCAAUUAGUUGAUCAGAGGUAUAUAUGUGAGAAACACGUAAUUGAUGCCUGAUAAGUUUAUCUCUAACGAGGUGGAAACCGAUGACAAUAUAUUUUAUGUAUGAGUUAUUGGCGCAUAGGUGGUGUCGAUACUAUUAUAAUAUAUUAUAGAAGUGGAUUGGAAAGUGAUGUCUAAGUUUCUAUAAUGAGAGGUGUAUUUGAGAGGGUCUAAGGUAUAAUCAUAUAAAUUUAAUGAUAUAUGUUGUUUGAGUGGCUCGAAUUGCUAAAGGCCCAUGGUUUUGGAAGGAAAACAUAGACUCAACAAAAAUAACAUUAUAUGAUAUAAAGACUUUUUAAGUUUGAGGAUUAUAGUACUAUAAAGCUUUAUGUUUAAGAGAGUAUUUUACGAAGAUGCAAGGCUUGGAUUCUGGUAUUAACUUAUGUGAAGUAUAAGAGCGGAUAACAUAAACAACCAAAUACUUUGUAUUUUUGAAUGUUUAGGAUUUUGUAAAAUAAUUUUUCAAAUGAUGACUGGUAUUGUAGAACUGGGGUGAGCAUACAAUUAAUGAGGUAAACUAUAAUUUAAAAGGUUGCUGACCAAAAGGUUGGUGAUAUGAAGGCUUGAUGUAAAAGAAUGAGACCAGUUUCAAUUAUAUGUCGAUGCUUUUGUACGGUAUGGCCAACUAGUUGAGGUGUGUUUAGUAGUGAGUUAAGAUGUUGCAUACCAUAGGAUGAAGGUAGGUUUUUAGAACUUAGUAUUUACCUCAUUCAUCAGAGUAAAUUAUUUUAAUGGUAGAAUGGAAGAAGUUUUCGACUAUCUUUCUAUAGAGAGUAAGAAUUACGGUAACUUCAGAUUUAUAUUUGAGAGUAUAAUUAUAUAUUUAAUAAAUUAAUCUACAAAAAUGACAUCAAAUUUGAAAAUGUCAAAAGUGAUUAGGGCAAGGCCCCAGACAUCGGUGUAGAUAAUUUUAAAUAGUAUGGAGCAGGAUAUCGAAGACAUUCUAAAGAUAGUCUAUAACUUUUAUUACUAAGGCAAGCAUCACAAUGAGUUACAAUUCUUCUUGAUUUGGAAGUUAAAAGAAAGUAACAAGAAAUUAGCUAUUGUUGAAUGGAGGAUAAUGAAUGACUAAGGUGACGAUGCCACACAUCAAUUAGAGCAACACCUGAAUUAAGAGUGGUUGAUUGGGUGAUUUGUAAAGCUGAUGGUUGCUCGGAGAUGUUAUUUUUAUUUUGACUUCAGACCAAGGAUACUCUCGUGUUCAAAUUCUUUAUAAGAAACAAGUAAAGAAAGAUUUCAAUAGAGGUGUUAUUUUGUUUGCAUAAUUGAGAAACAAAAAUGAGAUUCCUUUUAAUAUGAGGUAUAUAUAAAAUAUUAUCGAGUGUAAAAGUGUUGGUAUUUGAAUUAAGUAUUGUGGAACCAAUAUGAGUAAUAUGGAUUCUGUUAUCGUCACCAAUGAUGAUGUCUUCAUUGCCUCCAUAGUCAUUAUAGAUGGAUAAGUUCUGCAGAUCAGAAGUGAUACGAUGAGAAGAGUCAGAGUCAAUAAUCUAAUUAUUUGGAUGAGUAAUCAGAGUAGUUAUGAUGUUUGCUUGAGGUCAAUUGGGUGUAGUAGGAGGCUUGGGUCGAGAUUAAUAGACUUUUGCUACAUGUACGAUUUUGUCACAAAGCUGAUAGAGAACUUUUUGUUUAUUGUUAUUGUUGGGACGCCAUAGCUGCUGAUAGUUAUAGUGUAUGUUAUUUCUUAAGUUAUGAGGAUUGAAGUUGCUACCAUGAUUGAAGGGUUAGCAUAAUGGAGGAUGAUGGCUCGACGUGUUACCUAUAUGUCCCGGAGGUAUCUUGUUCGGUCUUUUGUUGCAGUUAUUAUUACUUUGAUUGCUCUUUCUUUUGAACUUUUGAUUGAAUUGAGCUGUGAUAGUUAGUCCUGUCAUCUUUUCUUCUCUUUUCAAAUAUGUAUUAAGAUCAAUCAAUUUGUUAUAUAGUUCUUCAAAUAACAUCAGUGAAUCUCAUACCCGAAUUAUUGUCGCUGAUUUCUUAUAUUCGUCUCUUAGGUAAUUGAGACUAUGGACAAUGACUUCUGGGGAUGACUUAUUAAAAUCAAGUCAUUUAUAAAAACUUUUAUAUUUUAUAUAUAAUCAAUAAUAGUAUUGCUCUCUUAAGUUAUUUUUAUCAGAGUUAAUAAAAGACUUAGCAUAGAGUGCGAGAGUGAUUGGCCAAGGUGACUUGUAACUUUGUUCAUGCUUCCUACAGUACUACACAAAGAUAUUAGUGGUACUAUGGAGUCAAUAAUUGAGGUUUGAAUUGCUUGUAGAAUAAGACAGAUCUUAUCAUAACCAUAACUUGUGAUUAAGAUUUGUUAUUGGGCUUGGUUUUCUUGGUAUUUGGAUCUUUUGUGGUGGACAAUUAAAAGAGUCACCGAUGUAGUCUAAUAGAUAAUAUUGAAAGAGAAGAUAAUUUGAAGGGGAUUUGAGUUGCACCAUUCAUAGAUAUAAGUCGUGUGUAUUGAAAAAAUUUAUUGUUUCGUAUGAGAACAAUAAUUGGAGAGAUAGUCGCGCAUUGUUGGAAGGAGGAAAAAAAGGUCCUUUCUUGCUACAACUGCACAAAAAGAUUGAUAGUUGAUGGUGGUGCCCUUUGGAAUUCCAAUCCUUGCCAUCACGGAGUGAUCUGAGCGGGUGAGGAAGAAGAAGAGGAAGAACCAACGUCGGAUGUGGUAGGAACAUCCUCUUCGCAUUGUUCACAGUGUAGUGUGUCUAGACUUCGGAGUUGUCGUCGACUUUCUCAUGGAGGCAGCUCUUCGAGUUGCAGGAGCAUAGGAGCGUCCACUGUGCGACCACGACAGAAGACACGUGGGCACAAGAGAAGGCGAUGGGGCGACCAUAGUGGGGUCCGUCGAUAGAGUAGUCGCUUCUGAUCUGUAGACCGCAAGAGGAGGCGACAACAACAGUGAGAGGCGAUAGGUUAUGCCUUGCAGCCAGGAGGAAGAGGUUCAACUGGCGAAGAGAAUAAACCGUCGAGCAAGAUGCAAUGGUCGAUGAGGAAGAAGGGGGCAGUCGGGGCACAGGAGGUUCACUGGUGACGAAGAAGUGGGAGGUUCCUAAAUCAGAUUUGCACAGGAGGGUCGAGGCGGCGAAACCGUAUAAGCAGAGCCUCGCGCCGCUUCUUUGGGUAGGUGGCAACGGUGACUCCGCACAAGGAAACAUAGGGCAUCGAAAGGGAAUCAACAGUAACCGCUUCUUUGGAUGAUGGCAACAGAUCUGAGGAGGCAGUGAACAAGCAAGCAACCUUCUAGAGGUGGACGGAGGGCAACGCGAUCGGCCCGGAAGGCAUCGAACCAAGUGAAGGUGAGGGAGUAGACAUGGGAUCGAUCAACGAAGAUUGCCUAGCAAAAGCGAAUAUACACAACGAAUAUGAUCGAUGAAAAGCAGAAGGUAGGUGAUCAUUGAGGAGAAGCAAGGGUACGAUCAUCGAAAUCAACAUCACCGGGGGUGGCAGAUUAGAUCAACGUUGUCGAAGGACUGAUUAGAUCUGUUGAUUGAUCAAAGCAGAGGAACAUUGAGUUGAUAGCUACAAAUCUGUGCAGCAUCGAUAGAGGGUAGAAGAGUGCCAGAGAAGAGGUAGCACCGAGGGAUCUCUGUGUAGAAGCAAAAUCAAUUGGUAAAGAAAUGGGAUCGACAGAGUUGAGGAGUUAGAAGAAACCGACAACGAUAUAUUAACAGAAGGGAGGGA
This 31276-nucleotide long non-coding RNA is filed under the name Musa acuminata (dwarf banana). RNAcentral describes it as "long non-coding RNA (MACU_LNC000112)". The record is from RNAcentral. Lineage: Eukaryota; Viridiplantae; Streptophyta; Magnoliopsida; Zingiberales; Musaceae.